AAAUUGAAGAGUUUGAUCAUGGCUCAGAUUGAACGCUGGCGGCAGGCCUAACACAUGCAAGUCGAACGGUAACAGGAAGCAGCUUGCUGCUUUGCUGACGAGUGGCGGACGGGUGAGUAAUGUCUGGGAAACUGCCUGAUGGAGGGGGAUAAC
Molecule: ribosomal RNA, 153 nt
Filed under: Escherichia coli
Lineage: Bacteria; Pseudomonadati; Pseudomonadota; Gammaproteobacteria; Enterobacterales; Enterobacteriaceae
Also listed under: 4 other names
Description: partial 16S ribosomal RNA
Rfam family: Bacterial small subunit ribosomal RNA
Source: RNAcentral